Molecule: ribosomal RNA, 401 nt
Filed under: uncultured microorganism
Description: bacterial SSU rRNA
Rfam family: Archaeal small subunit ribosomal RNA
Source: RNAcentral
GUGCAGCAGGCGCGAAACUUUACAAUGUGCGAAAGCACGAUAAGGGAACUCUGAGUGCCUCCUAAGGAGGCUGUUCAGGUGUCUAAAAGCACCUGAAGGAAGGGCUGGGUAAGACCGGUGCCAGCCGCCGCGGUAACACCGGCAGCCCAAGUGGUAGCCACGUUUAUUGGGUCUAAAGCGUCCGUAGCCGGCUGGGUAAGUUCCUUGGGAAAUUUGGCUGCUUAACAGUCAAGCUUUCAGGGAAUACUGCUCGGCUUAGGACCGGGAGAGGUCAGAGGUACUCCAGGGGUAGGGGUGAAAUCCAUUAAUCCUUGGGGGACCACCGGUAGCGAAGGCGUCUGACCAGACCGGGUCCGACGGUGAGGGACGAAGGCUAGGGGCGCGAACCGGAUUAGAUACCC